Molecule: ribosomal RNA, 253 nt
Filed under: uncultured bacterium
Lineage: Bacteria
Description: partial 16S ribosomal RNA
Rfam family: Bacterial small subunit ribosomal RNA
Source: RNAcentral
UACGUAGGGUGCAAGCGUUAUCCGGAUUUAUUGGGUUUAAAGGGUGCGUAGGCGGUUUAUUAAGUCAGUGGUGAAAGACGGUCGCUCAACGAUUGCAGUGCCAUUGAUACUGGUAGACUUGAGUGAGAUUGAGGUAGCUGGAAUGGAUAGUGUAGCGGUGAAAUGCUUAGAGAUUACAUGGAAUACCAAUUGCGAAGGCAGGUUACUACGUCUCAACUGACGCUGAGGCACGAAAGUGUGGGUAUCAAACAGG